Molecule: long non-coding RNA, 430 nt
Organism: Mus musculus (house mouse)
Lineage: Eukaryota; Metazoa; Chordata; Mammalia; Rodentia; Muridae
Product: predicted gene, 36751
Exons: 3
Source: RefSeq, a predicted model, not a curated record
UGAUAAUGGACUGAACCUCUGAACCUGUGCUGUGUCAGGCCAAACCGUGUCCCCUGGGCCUGUGAAUGCUCCCGAUCUCAGGCCCCCUGAGUGACUCACAUUUCAACCCGCGCUUCUCUCUGAAACUGGCACCUGAGUGCUUUCCUUCGAGUCAUCCAGGGCGACAAAAUGGUAUUCCCACCACUUAACUUAGCCAUCUGCCAGAAGUGGCUCUUGCUCCUCUUCCUCGGGCAGGAGACUGCCCAGCUGGACCCGGUUGGCUUGCAGCACUUUAUAGCGAAUACUGAGUCUAAACAUCUCUCCUUCGAGUUUCCUUUCACUCACUGUUACUUCAGAAGCUCUUCCGAUAUUUCUCUUCUGGGAGAAUGUCCUGUCUAUGUGUGACCCGUUUCCAACUCCCCUCUUCCUCCUUUACGGGCUCAGCAGGAAA